UUUUAUCAGAGAGUUUGAUCCUGGCUCAGGAUGAACGCUGGCGGCGUGCUUAACACAUGCAAGUCGAACGGGAAUUACUUUAUUGAAACUUCGGUCGAUUUAAUUUAAUUCUAGUGGCGGACGGGUGAGUAACGCGUGGGUAACCUGCCUUGUACAGGGGGAUAACAGUCAGAAAUGGCUGCUAAUACCGCAUAAGCGCACAGGACCGCAUGGUCCGGUGUGAAAAACUCCGGUGGUAUAAGAUGGACCCGCGUUGGAUUAGCUAGUUGGUGAGGUAACGGCCCACCAAGGC
This 292-nucleotide ribosomal RNA is filed under the name Blautia massiliensis (ex Durand et al. 2017). RNAcentral describes it as "partial 16S ribosomal RNA". It matches the Rfam family "Bacterial small subunit ribosomal RNA", at positions 1 to 274 of the family's 1533-position model. Lineage: Bacteria; Bacillati; Bacillota; Clostridia; Lachnospirales; Lachnospiraceae. The record is from RNAcentral. RNAcentral also lists the same sequence under 1 other name.